RNAcentral lists this transfer RNA (72 nucleotides) under Nematostella vectensis (starlet sea anemone). Its description in RNAcentral is "tRNA-Ala". It matches the Rfam family "tRNA". Rfam says of the family: Transfer RNA (tRNA) molecules are approximately 80 nucleotides in length. Lineage: Eukaryota; Metazoa; Cnidaria; Anthozoa; Actiniaria; Edwardsiidae. The record is from Rfam by way of RNAcentral.
GGUGAUGUAGCUCAGUGGUAGAGCGUCCGCUUCGCAUGCGGAAGGCCCGGGGUUCGAUCCCCCGCAUCUCCA